CUACCAUGGCAGUCACGGGUAACGGAGAAUUAGGGUUCGAUUCCGGAGAGGGAGCCUGAGAAACGGCUACCACAUCUACGGAAGGCAGCAGGCGCGAAAAUUGCCCAAUCCUGACACGGGGAGGCAGUGACAAGAAAUAACAACUCUAGGUUUUCUUAGAAGUGUAAUGAGGAUAAUUUACAAACCUUACCAAAUGCAAUUGGAGGGCAAGUCUGGUGCCAGCAGCCGCGGUAAUUCCAGCUCCAAUAGCGUAUAUUAAAGUUGUUGCAGUUAAAAAGCUCGUAGUUGAAAAUCUGAUUGCUCAGGUCUCCAGCCUUUAGGCGGGGAUUCUGACAGUCAUCCGCUUGCAAACAUAUGUUCGAUCUUCACCGGUUGGCUGUGUGAGUAAGCACUUUACCUUGAGAAAAACAGAGUGUUCCAGGCAGGUUUGUCCGGAAUGCAUUAGCAUGGAAUAAUAGAACAUGACUGAAGUCUAUUUAUUGGUUAAAGGCUUUAGUAAUGAUUAAUAGGAACAGUCGGGGGCAUUCGUACUCAGCAGUCAGAGGUGAAAUUCUAAGAUUUGCUGAAGACGAACUAAUGCGAAAGCAUUUGCCAAGGAUGUUUUCAUUAAUCAAGAACGAAAGUUAGGGGAUC
This 633-nucleotide ribosomal RNA is filed under the name uncultured eukaryote. RNAcentral describes it as "SSU rRNA". It matches the Rfam family "Eukaryotic small subunit ribosomal RNA", at positions 341 to 999 of the family's 1831-position model. The record is from RNAcentral.